GAUGAACGCUGGCGGCGUGCCUAAUACAUGCAAGUCGAGCGAACAGACGAGGAGCUUGCUGCUCUGACGUUAGCGGCGCACGGGUGAGUAACACGUGGAUAACCUACCUAUAUGACUGGGAUAACUUCGGGAAUCCGGAGCUAAUCCCGGAUAAUAUCUUGAACCGCAUUGUUCAAUGGUGAAAGACGGUUUUGCUGUCACUUAUAGAUGGAUCCGCGCCGCAUUAGCUAGUUGGUAAGGUAACGGCUUACCAAGGCAACGAUGCGUAGCCGACCUGAGAGGGUGGUCGGCCGCACUGGAACUGAGACGCGGUCCAGACUCCUACGGGAGGCAGCAGUAGGGAAUCUGCCGCAGUGGGCGAAAGCCUUACGGAACAAGCCCGCGUGAGUGAUGAAGGUCUUCGGAUCGUAAAACUCUGUUAUUAGGGAAGAACAAAUGUGUAAGUAACUGUGCACGUCUUGACGGUACCUAAUCAGAAAGCCACGGCUAACUACGUG
RNAcentral lists this ribosomal RNA (497 nucleotides) under uncultured bacterium. RNAcentral's name for it is "partial 16S ribosomal RNA". It matches the Rfam family "Bacterial small subunit ribosomal RNA", at positions 28 to 507 of the family's 1533-position model. The record is from RNAcentral.